Long non-coding RNA from Felis catus (domestic cat), 10706 nucleotides. RefSeq lists it as uncharacterized. The record is from RefSeq and is a predicted model, not a curated record. The transcript is spliced from 4 exons. Lineage: Eukaryota; Metazoa; Chordata; Mammalia; Carnivora; Felidae.
UGUUCAAGUUCUCUCUCUCUCAAAAUAAGUAAGUAAGUAAGUAAGUAAAUAAAUAAAUAAAUAAAUAAAUAAAAAUAAAUAUCUAUUAUGGCUAGAUACUUCACCAUGUGCUAGGAAAUUUACGUGCUCUACUUCAUUGCUCAGAGCCAUCAUAUGUGAUAGGUUAUCAUCACUCUCCUUUCAUUUCUGAUGAUUAAAGCUUUAAGGAGACAAGGGAUAAAUAGAUGGGGAGCCAAGUUUCUUCUCUAGGUGUCCCUACAAAGACCACUCUUUUUUUUGACUACAACCUUUGGGAAGGGCAUUUAUAUAGAAAGCCACUGUAUGGUUUUCCAGCAGUGUGGCAGAGUUCUUAUACUAUCAGUUUCCUAGUUUAUUAGUAAUGACAACUUAGGUACUAAAGAGAUUCUAGUGUAGUAAUUGAAUACAGUUAUUCUUGCUGAGUUUAUCCAGUGUUGAUCUAAUCUAUUCCACAACUUUCUCUUCUAUGCAGCACCUUAGUUUAUAAUUUCCACUGCUAGGAUUUGAAGCAUCAGUAGUUGAGGGGAAGAAUUAAAGAGAACACUGAAAUUGUUUUAAUUCCUAAUUGUUACUAUAUUUUAUCACCCUAAGCAAUACAGAGAUAUAAAACUGCUAAGUUAAUAAUGAUUUUUGGUUUAAUAAUGUAGCUCUAUAUUAGUAGGCCUUAAGCAUAACUAAGACAAUGGGAUGAUCAUAUUCUGAUGGACAGUGGCAAGGAGCAGAACAUUGUAAGUGGACUGAGUACUGGUCCUGAGGUGCAAACACUGUGGGUGUUUGGAUGCCUUUUGUUUGGAUCAUGUCUUGUGAUUCAACUUUGCCACAACUGAGUUAUUUUCCACACCGUAUCACUAACAUUGCAUCUUACGUCAUGUACAACUGUGACAGGUGGCUACGUCUAAUGUUAUAUCUAACAUCAGAAAAAUAUAACCAAGAGUUAGUGAGAGUUAACAUGAGCUUUUUUUUUUAAACUGUUCUGACUAUCUUAGGUGUCAUUGUAAUGUUUGUAUAAACCCACAAUUUUUCUCAUGUUCUCCAAGUUGAAUAAGUUCACAAAAGCACUUUAGCGGCAACACAAUCAGAGUCUAAGUAUAUCAUUGAUGGUAGCUAUCCUUACAAUUAGAUUCAGGGGUCAAGGAGAAUAGAUAGAGUUAGUAAAUAACCAUUUAACAGCUUAAUUUAUUUAUUCUACCCAUGACUUUUAGAUUAGCCACAGGCAAGUCUGUCUUUUGGCCCUGGCCAAGCUUAGUUGACCCUGCUACCAUCCUGUUAACUAGGCAGAAUUUGAGAAAAGUGGUGCCUAUAAAUUCUUUAAGAUGUCUUGAUUAUGGGGCAUCCAGAAUCUUAAUUGCCAUCUAGGAUGGCUCAUAUUUCCUCUGUGGUAAAUGAUAACUAUACAGCAGAUCACAUGGCCUGUUUUCCUGGUGAAGGAAGAAAUACAUUAAUAUGUUCAUUGGUUCAAUGGGUAUUUAUUAAAAACCUCCCCAGUACCAGGUGCUGAGUAGUAGUGAAUAAGACAAACAUGGUCCCUGCCCUCAUGGAGCAGACAGUAUAGUGGAGGAGACACUGUACACGAUUACAACAGUAUGUGAGGAGCUGUGCACUAGAAUUUAGGUGUUUUACAAGCUUAACUAUGACCUUGAUCUAAUUUAGAGUAAAGAAAGAUGACCCUAAGAAAGUGACAUUUGGAUUAGAGAUAGGCAGUGAGAACAGCAUAUUCCAGCCAAAAGCAUGGCAGGUUCUGAAGGACUAACAGCUACUUAGUGUGACUGUAAAUGGGAAUGAAACCUCAGCAGUGAAGUAGGCAUAGGCUACAUAGUGAGAAUCUUUUAAGUUAAGCUGUUUAGACUUGGUUAAUAAGGGUGAUGAGAAAUUAAGCUAUAGUGUUGUGAUCAGGUUUAUGUUUUAUGAGUAUCACUUCAAGAAAGAUUACUCUGAGGGCUGUGUGGAUGGUAAAUGGGUUGAAUAGGAGUAAGAUCAGUGGCAAAGAGGCUGGUUAGAGGGCUGUUUCAGCAGUUUGUCAGAUAUGAUGAUGAUUUGGGGGGACAGUAGAGUUGGAGAUAAAUGGUUAUUAAAGUGAUAUUGAGGAGGCCGAUUGACAACACUGGGUCACUAAUUAGAAGAGACAGAAAACUUAAAGAGAUCCUUCAAUUAAUGAUUUGGGUUCCAUUGGGUAGACACUUAAGCAACAUAGGGGAAACAUUUAGGUAGGGAGAGAGCAAAGGACAUGAGUUCACUUGUGAAAAGGAGGCAUUGGAGGGCUUAUGAGAUAUCAAGCAGGCUGUUGUUUAUCAGACAAUUAUAUCAGCAAGUCCGAACAGCCCCAGAACUGGACUGGACAGAAAGAUGGGAGGGUGACCAGUGCAUGGAUGCUAUAUGAAGUUUGCAAGUCAGCGUAGUUACUUGAAGUGCAUAGAAUGAAAAAAACAGAGGGCUUAUUACUGAUCCCCAGAGAAGUAUUGACAUUGAAAGGGUCUUUUUCAAAGUGAUGAUUUAAAGAUAAUAUUAGGUGAAAGCAUCUUAAAAAUGUUUUUAAGGAAAAGAGGAAGGCAUGUGAGCCUGAGAGUUUCCUUUCUUUUUCACAACUGAUUUGUGAUUUCCUUCCACCUCAAGUGAAGUCAUACAUAUUCCAAAUCAGAGUCUCUUUUGUUGUGGUUAAAUUGAUUCUUGAACACAAACCAUUCUAAAACAUGCAAUGAAAAAAAAAUGGAGAAUAAAGGAAAACCAAAGCAUCAAAUUAUCCAUGGCUAAAACUUUUUGAAUUUAGCGCAUAAUCAAAGCAACCAUAAAAGGCAGUGUUGCCAACAUUCAGUGAUGACCAAAGAAGGACUUUACUUCUUUUCCCCCUUUUUACCACUGAUUUCCAAUAUCUUAACAUUUUUUAAAUCCUUUAGAGAUUCAGAUCUCUUUGUAUUAUCUCUCCCAUCUUGAUCUCACAGGUGUGUGGCAGAAACCAAGAAUAAUGGCUCCCAACUUGUUCUUUAACUGCUUGUAAAAGACCUUUGACUAAAUGGCAAAGCCACUCUUCUUUUUUAUGUGGACAAAUCCAUGUCCACAAAACCUUGAUUUUUGGUAUGAUUACAGCGGAACUCUUCCUUCUUUUUAAACACAUGGUGGACCUAUUCCUUAUCCUGAUAUAUCAUCCAACUUUGUUUCUGUUUUCCCCUCUGGGGAAGAUAAUGUGGUUUACAUUCUUUUAGAAGUCUUGGACACCAAGAAUGUUGAGGUCAGCCCAACUGGGGAAGUGAAGGAAAGAAUGUCAGUUAACCCAGUGGUGAAACCUCAGGAGUGUGCUUUGUAAAGGCCAUUUUCUCCCUGUUUUUCUUUUUACCCCUUUGUAUAUUAACCACAAAUAACCACCAGCCUUUAAGUCAGCUUCACAAGAAGCCACCAACAAAUGUUUAAAGCAUCUCAACAAGGUUUUCAAGAAAGUCCUGAAUAAAAUUGUGUUUGUAUGAUGACCAGUAUAUUAGCUUUCUUUUUUUACCCACUGUUCCCUGUUGAUGCAAAAAUUUACUGAAAGUUCAAAUUUUAAGAAAUCAGGAAAUGUAGCGGAAGCAAUGGUGUUGUUUUUCUAAAGUAACUUAACUUUAAAUGAAACAAAUGAAUGCUUAGUCAGAUAGAAAGAUCAAGGAAUGAGAGACUUCCAUGCCCUCCAAAGUAAUUGGACAUUAGUGUGCUUUAGGGGCAACUCUCACUAAGUAUAGAGAAAUAUCUAUUUCUAAAAAUCUAGAAAACAUUUAAAAAAUUUCCUUGGAUUUAAGUCCUUAUGCAAUUUGGGAAGAAGGGAAACAAAAGCCCAAUGCAGAAGACUAACAUUGAUGAUGUGGAUGUUGUUCCCAGCAGAUUUUAGUGGCUUUUUUUUUUCAGUAAACACAUGGGGACUUACUCAACAUUAUAUUAAUGAUCUUAUUUGGAUUUGGGCAAAGCACACAAAUAUACUCACAUAUACACACAUAUGUGAAAGUCCUUUCUUUUCCUUUAGGAGAUAUUUUUAAGGCUAUCCAACAAAGAUUGUAAAUAACAUGUAAUUAACUAGCAUAGGAUGGUAUGAGAAAGAAUGAUGCAGGAUUCCGAGUAUUUUUAUAGAGGGAUCUGCUCCUUAGACACCUGGCCUUUCUUUUGAGGCAUAUUUCCAUGUACUAUGUCACUUGUUUUAAAAUUCCUUUGUUAUUCAUGCCUUAGAGAUUUUCAUGAGUUCACAGAUUGUGCCUGGGUGUGUAAGUUAGUGUGAAGAUAGUUAAGUAAAGGAGUAGACAAAGGGAAAGCAAAGUAAUUCACUUGAAAUCCAGAGACCUUUACAAUGCUGAAAAGUAAGUAAAAGCAGAUGUUGCAAAGUUUAGAAAAUCGAGACAUUAUUUUCCUGUUUCCAUUGAAUUUUUUCUAAACACAUUAUAAAUAAGCUUUGAAGUAAUACAAAGUCCUCUGUUUGUUUUGCUGAUAGCAUCUUUUGUGAAAAACUUUAUCAACGCUUGUUUAAGUUAUAGACUAAAUGAUAUCUCAGUUGGUGAAAGAACUGACUGUAUCUGCUGGCAAAUACAAUGCUACAAUGCUGAAAUUAUUUACAAUGUCUGAGUCACUUAGAUAUCUCUUUGAUUAGAUCUUUGGGGUUUAAUGUUUACCAGCUCAAAUAUUUUAUACUAUGAGAAUUCAAAUAUGGAACCCCAAUAUUUCAUUAUUCACGUAUUUUAAAUUUAAUCUUAUAUUUUAUGAAGACUUGAUGUUCCUCUACAAUGGAGAGAAUUUGGUUUGUUAAUCUUUGGAAUUAUUCUGAAAAGAGUAGCCUACAAAUUUGAAAAUAAGGCUAUCUAUGCUCCUUUCUUCCCUUCCCCCCAUCCUCUAAUGCAGACUCCUAUUAAACUUCUAAAAGUCUUACAAUGUGGUCUCUAGAUAUUAAGGCUAUUUCAAAUGAACAGUCAUUCUUCAGAUUUGCUUCUAAAACUUAAUAUCUAAAAAAGCCCAGGGGAGAGUUGAUUGUCAGAGCAAGGUGUUUGCUAGCUCAGGGAAGCUCUAGGACAGGUGCCCAUCCUCACAUGCUCCCACUGGCCCUCAUCAUUUGGAGUCACUGAAUGUCUUCCAGCUGUUAGAGAAUGUCCCAGGCUCAAAACUGCAUCCCUGCUGAGGAUAUUUUUAGGGUCUAAGCCAAUUCUAAAAAUGAUUGGCUGCUAAAAUAUGGAACGAGGGAAAUCAGUUCCUAUCAACAACAUAAACCAUCAUCUGUCUGUUAUUACAUUCAUUCAGCUGGGUCACAUAUGACUCAAUAAUCAAAUUACCACCCUAUAUAUCUUAAAUCUGCAUGUUCAUUUGACCACCAUGUGGACAUGGGAAAACAGAGAUAAUCUAGCUGUCUUCUCUUUAUUUUAUUUCUUUUAAAUAUGUCUUUUUUUCUGCAUCUAUAAGUAAAAUGCUUAUAAAAAUUUGAAAAUUAUAUAAUAUAGAAAGAUGUAUUGUUAUGAAUAGUUUUGUAUGUAUCAAUUACUUCUUAAUCAUUAAUGUGAUUUUCUGUUGUUAAUACUGUACUAAUACAACUGCGGCCUUUUAAAAUUAAUUUCAGUGAAAAAUUAGCUGGAUCUAUCAAAAAAAUCUUCAAAGGUAGAUAAAAUUUAAGUGAGGAAAAUAAAGCAAUCUUUUUUGUUAUUUAUUUUUCAACUUCUUUCAAGAAGCAUUUGAAACAGCUUACAAUAAAAACUAGGGCAAAGGAAAAAUACAACUAAGAACUAUUUAUAAAGUGUAAAUGAGAAAAAGAAAGGAAUAAUUCAGAGAAGAGGGGAAAUGUUAAAAUCAAGGCAUGCUAGUGGUAGAAAGUUAUACCAUUUGAUAUAAAACACUGCACAAAUUUGCAAAGUGGUCUUCCCAGUUCUUACUGGGAAUCAAAAACAAAAACAAAACCAAACAAACACCAAAACCCAAUUCUUUUAAGAAGAAUUUGCAUAGGAAACCUUCAUCUGUUGUCAAAAUGUGUCCUGCCAGGUGCCUGUGCAGUUAACAAUGCCUGCGGCUUUCAGGCAGGGAAAGUGGCCACACAAAUUUCUGUUUCCAGGACCUAGUGUCAUGCUCUCCAGUAGAAGGCCCCAAACAAUAAAUGAUUAAGGCAGUGAGUGAAGGCAUGAGUGACACAGUUCUUAUUAGUAGUUUAUUUAUAAUACAUACGUAAUUGCUUCAUUGCCCAUUAACUUCAAGGGCAUAAUGUUCAGUUCAUUCACUUUUUAAAAACAAAUAUUAUUGAGUGCCUAGUGGCACAGUUUUAGGUGUUAUAAAUAUUAAAGUGUGUAAGACAGUUUGUAUCCUCAUAAAGCUUAUAAUCUAGUGGGGCAGAUAAGCAGAAAAAACAGCUAUAAUGUGGAAAAUCAAACAGGCAAAAGUUCAUGGUACUGUGAGAACCCGUAGGAAGAGUAGCUAACGCAAGGAAAUGGGAGAGUUGCGAUCAUUUAGGGGGAAGCAGCUCUGUAGAGUGUGUACAGAGAGACACGUUGUGGCGUGUAGCUUCCUUGUGAUUGAUCUGGCCUAAACUAGGGAUAAUACUUGGGCUCUGGCCUGAUCUUUUGACUAUCUGAUGUUUCAGGCUGGAUUUGAACCAUUAGCAGAAUGGUUAGAGGUCUUUUAAUUCUUGAAAAUUGAAGUUACUAGCAAGUAUCUGAGGAAGAAAUAUUCUGAGCUUUAGGCUGAAGGAAAGAUCCACGCCAAGCAUGAGGUAAUAUAAAUCUGAUGUAUCAAUCUGGUCAUGGCACAUUGGACAUGUGUCAUGGCACAUUGGACAUGGACAGCUGGACAUGGCACAUUGAAAAGGCAAAACUGAAGAGAGAUUAAUGGAAGAAUGAUUGACCAAAUUGUGCAGAUUUAAGGAACCAAUAAGAGAGAGUGCUCAUCCAGGACCAGGCAGCAAUAGGAAAACCAUUAUCAUCCCUGGCAGUAGCUGAAGCAGGAAGAGAAGGCUGCCUUAUAGGAGCUGUGGCCUUAACUAGCGGAAAACAGAAGCCAUGCCUGAUGAGGAGAGAGCUGGGAAAAUAAAUACUCAACCCUCUCUCCUCUUGCCCAUGAAUUCUUGGAGGUACCUCCCAUUGGUUGAACCCAACUGGAAGCCAGAAGGCAAAAGGGAAUAUUACAGUUGAUGCGGUCCUUAAAAAUCAGCCUCCUGGGAAGAAAGCCAGAUAGAAAAGGUGGAGAAGAGUGGAUCUAGAGAGGCAAACGAAGAAUAUCUAGCAUAGCGUUCCAUCAGUGGAAGGCUGUCCAAUUUCAUUUAAUAAAGGAUGUAAGUUAUGUGUUAUGAAAUAUAGAUAACAUUGGUUUCAAUUCUAGGAAAGAGACAACCUUUAUUGUAGGAAAACACAGGGUUGGUUUUUGUUUUGUUUUGCUUUGUUUGGUUUUUGUCAUAUUUGAGGUGUUUUAUUGUUGGCAGUGCUACAGAAAGGGUUAAAGAUUUAUCCAUUUGUAUUAAGUGGUGUCUAUGAAGUAAUAUUUCUUUCUUCUGUCUUUAUUUUCUAAAAUAAGGUACUGUCUGAUUUGGAUAGAGAUGAACUGGGGAGAUAAGGAGACUGAUUCUAGAAAGACUUAAAGAUGGAUUUCUGGGCCGCUUUCUGGGGAUUUUGUAUCUCCGGUGCACAAGGAGAUUUGUUUUUUGAUCUAGAAGAAAGUCAGGAGAUGAGUUGAACACUACAGAUGUGCUCUAAGAAGUGUAAAGAGCGGCGGCUGGUGGCUCAGUCGGUUGAGUGUCUGACUUCGGCUCAGGUCAUAAUCUCAUGGUUUGUGAGUUUGAGCCCUGUGUCGGGCUUGUGCUGACAGCUUAGUGCCUGGAGCCUGCUUUGGAUUCUGUGUCUCCUUCUCUCUCUGCCUCUUCCCUCCCUGCUCACACUCUGUCUCUGUCUCACUCAAAAAUAAAUAAAACAUUAAAAAAAAUUUUUUACGGCUAAAGAAAUGAUUAAGUUCUGUGGUCAACCAAAGAGUAAUGGGAUCCCAGGAGUCCACCCUGGGUUAUGCCCAAAUAAAACAGGUCAGCACUUUAUCUUCAACUGAUGCUGAGUGUGUAGGGGCAGAGCAUGUAACCUGGACAUUAAGAGAGGCUGUUGGCUUCAGGAAUGAUGCUGGGAGAAAACAUGAAUAGCAAGGACAGGCAGGACCAGGUGAAUCUAGGAAUCAAGCUCAAGAGUGAUAUCUUGUCCCACUAAUGGGUCAAAUAAAUGUAUGUAGUUUUUAUUAUUGUUGUUAUUUUUUGGCAUUUAAAGGUGUUGAAUCUGGUGGUGACUGAUACCUACAAAUGCAAGUGUGGGUGAAAGGACUACUUUCUAAGCAGUUUUUUUAAGCUUGCGAGACAGUUUCCUGAUUUCUUGUUUUAAGUGAUGUUUUCAGAAUUGAUUCUUCUUAUGACUCUUUCUCUUUGGUUUGUAGCCCAGCUUGUCUCCUAUUUCUGAUCUGGUGUGGGAGGCUAUUGAUAGUGGUACCAUUUCCAAACUUCUUCACUAAUUUGAAGCUGCCUUUGGACAGCCUGAGAAUAUCUGGGAAGCAGAGCAUGGGGCCUGGAUGAAGAGUGCUCUCUAAAUUUUGGUUUUAUUUGAGAAAAAUGAGAAUGAAAAUACUACAUUUCAAAGAUUUCAAGAGCCUUUUUUUGGAAGAGGCCUUCUCCUGGAAAGACUGAUGUGACAGCUUGUCCAGUGAGGAAGGCAGCCCAGGAUUAAGAGGCUUCUCUCCUCUAUUCCAAUUACCACACGGCUAUCAGAGUGACCUUUCUCCUGUGGAAAAUCCUUUGAGGACUCCCCAUUGCCGAACCAGCCAUGCUAUUCCAAGCCUGCACGUCAUCACAUAUUCCUGCUGCCCCAUCAUCAUCAGGUAGUCUUUUAUAGUAGAUAUUUUGACAUUAAGAAUUGAGAUUAAAAUGUUUUUUCAAAAAGCUAUUUUAAAGAAUAAUUACAGAGGGCCUUGAUUCAUAGAAUGAGAAUAAAGAGGUGAAUGAUAAAGUUCCUUUCCUCAUGAAGCUUACCUGCUACUGGAGGUAUAUUAAAAAGGUAAACACACACACAAAAGUGAUUCAGAUGGUGCUAAAUUCAAUGAAAAAAAGAUGAAAUAGGGAAAUUUACAGAUAGUAACUGGGGUUUAGGGGACAGUUAUUUUAGAGGGAGAAGCCUAACAGGUAGAUAUUCUGUGGUAUUGUCUGAAAUAAGAUCAAUAUUCUUAACAUACCUGGUACAUAAGUAUAGCAGACCUGAUUUUUGUUUGGAAAACUAAGCUUCUGAUUUGCCUUAUGCCCAGAGGGUGGGCCACUCAAACUUCUUACUGGUAGAAGUUGCAGGUUAAUAUUUUUGUGGGAAGCUACCUUGGAUCUGGGGACUACUUGAUUACCACUUCAGGUUUGCAGUUUUGAGUACUGGCAAGGAAGAAGUGACUUCGGCUUGGAAAAUGUGGAGGACGAGCCAGAUUUGCCAUCUACUUCUACCUAAAUGAAUUAAUUCUGAUAAAGCUGCCUGCUUGUGCUUCCAAGACUCAGGACAACCAUUAGAAUAUAUGGUACUGUUUUGCUCUCUUAGAAAAAGGUGCCUCUCAAGGGUGAUAAAUUAGAAGAUUCCAAGGCACUUCUGCACUUAGCAGAAGGAAAGCUGGCUUUCAGCUGCCACUUGCUUUCUUUGUUAUGAAUCUUUGUGCAGCUCAACUCUGUGUUACAUCCUCAGUUAAUUACAUGGAGCUACUUACCAUAUACCUGAGUAUACAUUAAAGAUGCUUAAUUUACUAGGAGAAGCAGUGUUUCUAGAGGAUAUUAUUUUUGAAAAACUUCAUUUAAGGUGCACUUUGUUUUUCUACCGUUCUUAUGUAUUUUUGCACUAAUAUUAUAAAUGAUUUUGAAUACGCUUCACAUUACAGGCAAAGUAAUCCUGCCUAAUAGCUCUUGGACUAUUUAUUUCGUAUGGCAGCCAAUCCAUGUUUCUGUUAGACAGUUAUAAAAAUUAUAUUAAUGUAAUGUUUUAAGCUUUAUGAAAAGAAUUAUAUAGUAUGUUUUACAUAGAUGUAAUUAGAUCAUAGAUUUAAUUAGAGCAAAGUCAAUCUACUGUAAUUAAUCUAGAUGUAUUACAAUCUAGAGCUGUGCUGUCCAAUAUAGUAGCCACUAGCCACCUGUGGUUAUUGAGCUGUUGCUCAUGCAAAUUGAGCUGUGCUAUAAGAGUAAAAUAAACAGGAUUUUAAAGACUUUAUACAAAAAAAGAAUGUAAAAUAUCUCCUUAAUAAUUUUCACUUAUGAAAUGAUAGUAUCUUGGAUACAUUGUAUUAAAUGUGAUAUGUUAUUAAAAUGCAUUUCCAUGCUUUUUUUAUUAUUAUGGCUACUAGAAAAUUACAAAUGACAUAUAUGACUCACGGUUGUAAUUCAUUAUAUAUCUAUUGCAGAACAUUGGUCUAAAGUGUGUACCUUUUAAUUAUUAUUUUAAUAAUUCUUGGAUCCUCUGUGAACUGUGAUGGCUCUCAAUCUUUUCUCAUUUGUGAUUUUUUUUUCCCUUGGCAAGAUUUACUGACUUGAUUUAUUCAGUUACUUUGUGUUGAAACACUCUGACACCUGGCAGGUUAUGGUAAUAGUUCUUAAUCAUGGUUGCUUUAUAAUCUUGUAUGGAGAUCAAAAAUGAACAAAGAUUGGGGUGUCUGGGUGGCUCAGUUGGUUAAGCGGCCGACUUCAGCUCAGGUCAUGAUCUCGCAGUCUGUGGAUUUGAGCCCUGCAUCGG